This 85-nucleotide transfer RNA is filed under the name Phycisphaerales bacterium. RNAcentral's name for it is "tRNA-Ser". It matches the Rfam family "tRNA". Rfam says of the family: Transfer RNA (tRNA) molecules are approximately 80 nucleotides in length. Their secondary structure includes four short double-helical elements and three loops (D, anti-codon, and T loops). The record is from RNAcentral. Lineage: Bacteria; Pseudomonadati; Planctomycetota; Phycisphaerae; Phycisphaerales.
GGAGCGUUGGCCGAGUGGUUGAAGGCGCUCGACUUGAAAUCGAGUAUACCGAAAGGUAUCGUGGGUUCGAAUCCCUCACGCUCCG